Paramuricea clavata is the source of this 869-nucleotide non-coding RNA. The record is from the annotation of a GenBank genome assembly. NCBI's taxonomy places the organism in Eukaryota, Metazoa, Cnidaria, Anthozoa, Malacalcyonacea, Plexauridae.
GUCGAGCUACCAAGUUUAUUCUUCAGGACUAUGAAUCGUCCUACGGCGUUGAUCGCUUGAAAAAACUUAAUCUAAUCCCUCUUUCAUACUGGCAUGAAAUUAAAGAUAUCAUGUUCUAGCUUCUACAAAUGCAAAUCCGGGAUGUACGAACAUGACAUUAAUCAGUCUCUCCAUCAUUCCACCCCGAUUUUUUUUUCCACCCUAAUUUUUUUUUAUUUUCGUCGUCCAAAUCUGUGUAAAACGUCUGUCUUCAGAAACUCGUACUUUAACAGAAUUGUAUUUUUAGGGAACUGAUAACUUGCCUUCAGAUAUCAAAUCAUCCUCUUCCGUCUCUAUACUUAAAUCUAAACUAUUAUUAAUAUCUAUAUUAUACGAAUAAACUUAAGUACUUAACUAUACUUUCGAGGUAGACCAUCCUAGAACUUGAAAAACUUUGUGUAGUAAGUGUCGUUCUUUAUAAAUGCAAUUCCUAUUAUCCUAUAUAAUUUUUAAUAAUUAAUAUUUAAGUGUUUUUGUAUUAUGUAUGAUAUGUAAUAUUGUAAUAAUGUAAUUCGUAAAGCCCUGGGCAAACUAGGAAACAUUGUUGCGGAAACAUUGUUUCCUACCAAUGUUUCGCCAUGUUUCUCAGAGACCAGAGUGGGCAAACACUAGGAAACAUCAGCGAGAAACAUUAGCGCUCAGGGUAAAUUAGUCCUUGUAUUCUUCUCUGUCGAUGCCAAAUUCCUUCAACUUGUUGUCAAUCUCAGCAUAAACCUUUUCUUUCUUUCCGUAAUCUGUUUGAGUAUUUUACAUUACCGACAUCCCACAAACAGUUUCUUGCUUCAUACAAACUUAUCAGCUUCUCUGUUUUGGUAUCUUUCCAAACUCGC